This is a long non-coding RNA of Ixodes scapularis (black-legged tick), 1437 nucleotides long. RefSeq lists it as uncharacterized. The record is from RefSeq and is a predicted model, not a curated record. NCBI's taxonomy places the organism in Eukaryota, Metazoa, Arthropoda, Arachnida, Ixodida, Ixodidae. The transcript has 5 exons.
CGGCUGGGGCCUUGGAUCUACAACUCUCUGGGCAGCCGCGCUAAGUUGUAUAGCCGCUUUUUUAAUCGUCUUCAUUGCCCUCACCCUGGGAAAGUUCCGCCGGAAGAUCCUUUUCAACCGAUCGCAAGAAAUGUGGAACCGAGGUGAAAGGUGCCCACCGGACGACUCGGCUAAAAGAGACUGCAAUCACGUGCGCCACGACCUAGUAGAAGGAAAUACCGAUUUGGGUACCGAGCUUGCCGCCUUCGAUCCUCCGGCCAUGAUCACCUUCAAGGACCCCAUCGUCAUGAAGCCCAACCUUAGCGGGAGCAACGGGGCCAUCCUGGUGUCUGCUCAUCCAAAGAUGUUCAUCCCGUCGCCGUCCUAACUGGAGGCCCCACGUGCAUUUCAGCCAAACUGGGCAACCAGCCCCGAUCAUCGCCUUCUUGGCAGACACACUUUGGCGCCAUGACGAACGACAGCUCAACCCAGGUAUGUACGACAGCUCAAGAUAUGUCUGUACAACUGCUCAGCUGUGUCUACGACAGAGCUAUGACUGUACGACGACUGUUCCAUGACUGUGCCACGGAGAAAACCUUGGUGGUGCCCCGCCUCAAGCUAUAUUUAUAUGAGGACUCAAGCCGUGCCACGGCUUAAGCCAUGACUUUAAGACGGCCCAAACCACGAAAAUUUCACGAUUCAAGUCAUCACUGUGCCAUGGUUCAAGACAUAGCUGCACGACGGCUCAAAACACGACUGUUCCACUACUCAAGCCAUGACCUCUCCAUGGAUUCAGCCCUGUCUGUGCAACUGCUCGUGCCAUGACUGUUCGACGGCUCUAGCCAUGACUAUGGCACGUCUCAAGCAAUGACUGUGCCAUGGAUGAAACCAAGACUGUUCUACGACUGAAGCCCUGUCUGUAGAACGGCUAAAGCCGUGACUGUGCCAGAGUCCGAGUCGUGUCCGUAUGACGGCCUGUCGGAGAAGCCGUCGACUGCUCAAGAAUGGUGUCGGAUUGUGUUAUGUCUCAGUGGUGAGGUCUGGACGCCGUAUAAACCUCGAUGUGACUCGAAGGCACGCUUUCAAAGGCACACACAAUAUUGUGAGAGACGCAGUAAGGUGGCGAAUACCUCCUCCCACAUGGAGAAGCACCCAAUACAGGAGUUCGUGUAAAUACGCAUAAUCGUCGAUUUCUCCGGGCAGCCGGAGUGCGUCCUGGGAGGUUACUGGGGAACGUGGGGGACCAAGAAAGCCAACAAUACUCGUAACCUUUUUUUUUCUUUUGUGAACUUUGGAAAGUGUGUAUAUACAGUGGUUGAGUUUCGGACUACUAGGCAGGCUUCGUGCAUGGGAAGCACGUUCAGUCUAAUUCUUGUUUUCGGCUGAAGAUGUGUGCCUAAGGAAGAAAUUCAAGAAAGAUUGUUGGUUAUAAUAACUUAAGCGAAAAAAGAAAAAAAA